RNAcentral lists this unclassified non-coding RNA (339 nucleotides) under soil metagenome. RNAcentral describes it as "partial contains 5.8S ribosomal RNA, internal transcribed spacer 2, and large subunit ribosomal RNA". The stretch from base 1 to 120 matches the Rfam family "5.8S ribosomal RNA", at positions 35 to 154 of the family's 154-position model. The record is from RNAcentral.
GAUGAAGAACGUAGCGAAAUGCGAUAACUAAUGUGAAUUGCAGAAUUCAGUGAAUCAUCGAGUCUUUGAACGCACAUUGCGCCCCCUGGUAUUCCGGGGGGCAUGCCUGUCCGAGCGUCAUUGCUGCCCUCAAGCACGGCUUGUGUGUUGGGCUCCGUCCCCCCGGGGACGGGCCCGAAAGGCAGCGGCGGCACCGAGUCCGGUCCUCGAGCGUAUGGGGCUUUGUCACCCGCCCUGUAGGCCCGGCCGGCGCCAGCCGACAACCCAUCAUCCUUUUCAGGUUGACCUCGGAUCAGGUAGGGAUACCCGCUGAACUUAAGCAUAUCAAUAAGCGGAGGA